AUUGAACGCUGGCGGCAGGCUUAACACAUGCAAGUCGAGCGGGGGAAGGUAGCUUGCUACCGGACCUAGCGGCGGACGGGUGAGUAAUGCUUAGGAAUCUGCCUAUUAGUGGGGGACAACAUCUCGAAAGGGAUGCUAAUACCGCAUACGUCCUACGGGAGAAAGCAGGGGAUCUUCGGACCUUGCGCUAAUAGAUGAGCCUAAGUCGGAUUAGCUAGUUGGUGGGGUAAAGGCCUACCAAGGCGACGAUCUGUAGCGGGUCUGAGAGGAUGAUCCGCCACACAGGGACUGAGACACGGCCCAGACUCCUACUGGAGGCAGCAGUGGGGAAUAUUGGACAAUGGGGGGAACCCUGAUCCAGCCAUGCCGCGUGUGUGAAGAAGGCCUUAUGGUUGUAAAGCACUUUAAGCGAGGAGGAGGCUACUUUAGUUAAUACCUAGAGAUAGUGGACGUUACUCGCAGAAUAAGCACCGGCUAACUCUGUGCCAGCCGCCGCAGUAA
Molecule: ribosomal RNA, 501 nt
Filed under: uncultured bacterium
Lineage: Bacteria
Description: partial 16S ribosomal RNA
Rfam family: Bacterial small subunit ribosomal RNA
Source: RNAcentral